UGGGUGGCGGUUGAGACAGCGGCGGUACUGGGAUGGGUAGGUGAGGAUCCCGAGACUGAGUGAGCUUCUGCGCGCGGUGCUUUUGGGAACGCGGGACUGGCAACCUGCGGCGCCAGGAGCUGGGCCGAGGCGCGGCGGCGCGGCUGCGGGCCGCCGUCUGGAUGGGAAGUUACGGCGAAGUCCACCCAGCGUUUCUCAGGCAAUCUGAAGGCAAAUCCUGUUUAGACCCAGGCGAAGGUUCCUGGUGACCCAGGCUCUCACCAGCCAAUUGUCCCUUGCCGUCCUCCUGAGGGUAUCUGGAGCUUCAGUGCUGUGUGCUCUUGGCCUCCACACUGGGGAUGCCACUGACUCCCACUGUCCAGGGCUUCCAGUGGACUCUCCGAGGCCCUGAUGUAGAAACUUCCCCAUUCGGUGCACCAAGAGCAGCCUCACAUGGUGUGGGCCGACAUCAAGAGCUGCGAGAUCCAACAGUGUCCACAGAUCAGAAGUUCAGGCCUGGAUUCGCUGGGUCUUCUUCUCAGGGCCUCACAGGCUGAAAUUAGGCUGGGUUUCUUUCUGGAGGUUCUGGGGAAGAACAUCCUCUCAAGUUUCCUCAGGUUGUCAGCUGAGUUCAGUUCCUUGUGACUGUAGGACUGAGAUCUCUGUUUUCUUGCUGGCUGUCAGCCAGGGGCCUCUCGCUGCUCCUAGAGGCCUCCCAUGUUCCCACUGCAUGCUUCCUCCAGCCAGCAGAGGAGGAUCGCCCUGCAUGGAAACCCUCCUGCACUUCACAUCUCUCCAGGAAGUCCUCAGUCCCUCCAAGGAACUCACCUUCACUAGGUCAAGCUCAUCAGAUAAUCUGUCUAUCUUAAAUUUGACCGAUUUGGGAUCUCGAUUACAUCUGUUAACUUGUUUUUGCCAUAAAUUGUAACACAAUCGCAGGAGUGACAUCUCCUCAGUGGCUUUGUCUACACUCAGGAAGAAGUGAUUAUAUAAGAGCAAAGAUCACUGAGGGUCAUCUUAGGAUUCUGUCUACCAUAAUAUUAUAAAGACACAGUAAUUAAAAGAGUAUAACAGAUUUCUGCUUCUGUCUGUUAGAAUAAAUCAUAUCAGACUAACCCUGCCUCCAUAAACAACCGUAAAAUUGUUUUCAGCAGUGUACGACAGGCAGUACAACAGAAAACUUAAGGGGGAAGCCCCAUGAUUUCCUAGUUCUUUGGGGAGAAUUUCUCAGCAGCUGCAUAGUGGGCUAGAGUCCACUCAGGGCAGGGCAGCCCACUGAGCUGAGAAGGCAGAGAUCAGAGUUCAAGACCAUUGAAGCAACUGCAAUCUGCAGGGCAGGGCACCAAUGAGGAGACAGCUGAUCAAAGGUGCAGCUCUCAAAGUCUAUGUGGGGUUCCAUAUGCAUCCUUAUCAAGGACUGGACUGUACCUGCACAAGGAAAAGACUAACAGAUUUAACAGAGGGGUGGCUGCUAUAAAAUUGAGUUUGGACCAGAGGUACUUGAGGCGGAGGAGGGUUGGGGAAUGUAUGAUGGAGUUUCUGCCAUCCACGGUGGGAAGAACUCAUGCACACCUCAUUAGCACCCAGGUAUCCAACUGAGACACUAGAAUGGAUGUGCUUUAGGAAUAAGUGUCACACUUUUCAAUAAGGCCUAUUGUUCACCAACCUGGUAAAGCCUAAAGCCAAACCCUGACAAAAUCCACAAAGGGGUGGAUUGGUGAUUGAGUCCUGCCAAAUUAGAGGGUCUUGGGAAAUUCUGUGGGCUUUCCAUGAAUCCGUUGUAAUAAAACAUAAACCAGUCCACAUAAGUCCAAAGUGAUCGAUCAGACAGUAAUUUUACGCCCACUAGAGCAAAAUUAAUUCACACAAUCAAUGACACAAGUUAGCCAAGUCGACAUUUAAGCAAAAUACAUCUAAGAACAGCUAACAAAUAACUCUCCUCAAACUCACAUAGAGCAUUCACCAAGAUAGACCACAUAUGCUGAGCCAUCCUUAGUAUUUUCUGUCCUUUCUCUUUGACUCGUGUAUACUGUGCUCAAACUCUUAAAAUUAUACACUUUAAUUAUAUACUUUAAUGAUUAUACACUUUCAUGCAUCUCAAUUGCAUGUAAGUUAUAUUUCAAUAUAUUUGUUAAAAGUUUAUAAUUAAAAAAACUGUCCUAGCUUGAUUCCAGAAAUCUUUUUUAUAUUUUAGAAAAUGUAAUGUUAUAUAUUAUCAGGGCAAAAGAGAAAAACCGUAUGAUUACCUUGUCAUACACAGUAAAAGCAUUUGGCAAAAUUGAAAAAUUUUUCAUGAUUUAUAAAAACAAACCCCAGAAAACUCAGCAUGAUAAGAAGAGAAGGCAACACUUCCAACCCUAUUAAGGGUAGAUUUGAAAAAAACUCACAGGUAACAUUAUAUUAAAUGGCAUGGGAUUGAAUGCUUUUCUAUUAAAUCAGAUAAAAAAGUAGAAUAUCUGUUGUUAUUCUUUCAAUUCAGCAUUAUACUAGAGAUCUAAAUCAGUGCAAUAAAGUAAGAAAAAUAAAAGUAUUGAAAAGAUUGAAAAGAAAGAAUUGAGGCUGUCUUUAUUCACAGAUAAUGACUGUGUAUGUUAAUAAUCCUAGAAAUCUGCAAAAAUCUGCCAAAGCUAAUUAGUGAGUUUGGUAAUGUUGCAGAGUAUAAGCUCAAUAGAAGUAGUCUUUUGUAUUUCUGUGUAUUAGCAAUGAGCAUUUGGAAAAUGAAAUAAAAAUACAAUUUCAUUUCAAGUAACUUCUAAAUACAUGUGCUUAUAAAUAAAUUCAACAGGCUGGGUCUGGUGGCUCACGUGUG
This 2788-nucleotide long non-coding RNA is filed under the name Homo sapiens (human). RNAcentral's name for it is "HSALNT0002853". The record is from RNAcentral. Lineage: Eukaryota; Metazoa; Chordata; Mammalia; Primates; Hominidae.